This 73-nucleotide transfer RNA is filed under the name Candidatus Pacearchaeota archaeon. RNAcentral's name for it is "tRNA-Asn". It matches the Rfam family "tRNA". Rfam says of the family: Transfer RNA (tRNA) molecules are approximately 80 nucleotides in length. Their secondary structure includes four short double-helical elements and three loops (D, anti-codon, and T loops). Lineage: Archaea; Nanobdellati. The record is from RNAcentral.
GUCCCGGUAGCUCAGCUGGUAGAGCAUUCGGCUGUUAACCGAAGGGUCAGAGGUUCGAGUCCUCUCCGGGACG